CAGAGGGCGCGGGAGCCGGAUGGCAGGUGCCUCUCAGGUCCGCAGGGAUCCCUCUCAGGUCGGCAGGGGCCUCUCUCAGAUGCUGCCUGUUUGAAAUGGAUGCGGAGCCAGCUCUCAGGGUCAGGGCUGUGAGCUGGAAGCCUUCUCCACGUUGACAUUUAUUUACCAUAAGAAAGUCAGCACACUUUAUGGCUGGGAUCUAACAAGGCCUAAGGAGAUAUCUGCUGUGCGUGCAUCGGUGUCGAUCUUCUGACUGGGACCAGCAGAGCGCAUCUUCUGGGCCCGGGAUGGUGUCCAUGAGGGAUUUUCAGUAAAUUUUAGCUCUUCAAUAUUACCACUGGGUGACCAGAGCAGAAGAGAAGCCAAUAUCACAUCCUCUACUGCUAAGGACAUUUUCAACAGAAACUUUGGGACUUCUCUUGAAAGAUCCUGAGAUCCUUUGCCACCAUGAGGUAUCACAGCCUCCUCUGCCCCUUCCCUACUGUUCAGCAAGAGCAAUCGUUUUGCAAAUUUAUGCCCUGAAAGCAGAAUGCUAGUCCAGUAGCCCCCUAAAGUAGAUAUUUUUAAAGUUACUCAUUAUGUAGGUAAUGUGGGUUCUGAGUAUUUGACAUUAAAGAAUGUACACAAGGUAUUUGGGGCUGGAACGAAUGACUUAAUGUGAGAACCAACACUGCCCGCACCCCCCACAUCUGUCACCAGCUCUACCUCCAAACACCUGGUGCAGCUGCCCCCAUCCGGCCGUCUCCGCCCCACCUUUGCCCAUUCUUCCACCUUGAAACCAGUCUAG
Long non-coding RNA from Sapajus apella (tufted capuchin), 787 nucleotides. RefSeq lists it as uncharacterized. The record is from RefSeq and is a predicted model, not a curated record. The transcript is spliced from 4 exons. NCBI's taxonomy places the organism in Eukaryota, Metazoa, Chordata, Mammalia, Primates, Cebidae.